CCCCUAGAUGUUCUGGGCCGCACGCGCGCUACACUGAACAGUUCAACAAGUCUUAACCUUGGCCGAUAGGUCUGGGUAAUCUUUGAACGCUGUUCGUGAUUGGGAUAGACCUUUGCAAUUAUGGGUCUUCAACGAGGAAUUCCUAGUAAACGCAAGUCAUCAGCUUGCAUUGAUUACGUCCCUGCCCUUUGUACACACUGCCCGUCGCACCUACCGAUUGAAUGGUCCGGUGAAAUCUCGGGACGGCGGCUUGGUCGCUUGCGUCCGACUGCUGAAACUUGAUUAAACCAUAUCAUUUAGAGGAAGGUGAAGUCGUAACA
This 320-nucleotide ribosomal RNA is filed under the name uncultured eukaryote. RNAcentral describes it as "partial 18S ribosomal RNA". It matches the Rfam family "Eukaryotic small subunit ribosomal RNA", at positions 1470 to 1796 of the family's 1831-position model. The record is from RNAcentral.